ACGGAAGGCAGCAGUGGGGAAUAUUGCACAAUGGGGGAAACCCUGAUGCAGCGACGCCGCGUGAGCGAAGAAGUAUUUCGGUAUGUAAAGCUCUAUCAGCAGGGAAGAAAAUGACGGUACCUGACUAAGAAGCUCCGGCUAAAUACGUGCCAGCAGCCGCGGUAAUACGUACGGAGCAAGCGUUAUCCGGAUUUACUGGGUGUAAAGGGAGCGUAGACGGGACAGCAAGUCUGAUGUGAAAGGCGGGGGCUCAACCCCUGGACUGCAUUGGAAACUGUUGACCUUGAGUGCCGGAGAGGUAAGCGGAAUUCCUAGUGUAGCGGUGAAAUGCGUAGAUAUUAGGAGGAACACCAGUGGCGAAGGCGGCUUACUGGACGGUAACUGACGUUGAGGCUCGAAAGCGUGGGGAGCAAACAGGAUUAGAUACCCUGGUA
Molecule: ribosomal RNA, 434 nt
Filed under: uncultured Lachnospiraceae bacterium
Lineage: Bacteria; Bacillati; Bacillota; Clostridia; Lachnospirales; Lachnospiraceae
Description: partial 16S ribosomal RNA
Rfam family: Bacterial small subunit ribosomal RNA
Source: RNAcentral